CCUGACUACGAUAGCGAGGCGUGCACGGCGUCCAAGUUCCGCCCGGAGACUAAAACUGAGAGCCACUGCGGCGGCCCGGGCCCGCUCGGCCUGUGGUUCAACCAGAAAUCGGGCAACCUCUACGUGGCCGACGCGAAAGGGCUCAUGCGGGUAGUGCCGGGCGGCGGGGAGGCGACCGUGCUGGUCAACCAGGUUGAUGGUUUUCGUCUCCGCUUCACCAACGAGGUCGGCGUCGACCAAGGUACCGGCCAAGUCUACUUCACCGACAGCUCGAUGAACUUCGCGAGGUCGCAACAUGGGCUGGUCACCAAGACAGGAUGACGUCCCCAAAUGGCGUCGACCGACCGGACACACCUCGUGGCUGCGUCUACCGGUCUGUGCAAGCUGCUAAGGCGCAGGACCAGAGGGGUCAACGUAGGCACAUCCGAGCCUUUCGCCGACCUGCCUGGCUACCCGGAUAACAUGAGGCCGGACAAGGGAGGUUAUUGGGUGGGGUUGCACUGUGAGAAGAAUGAGCUGCCCUUUAGUCGUGAUAACCAUCUUCUCAUAUCGAGGGUCGGUGCCAAUGAGAAGAUAAUCGAGGAGAUGAGAGGUCCAAAGAAAGUCAGGCUGACCAAGAUCAUGAAGAGAGAUAAUGGCAAACUCUACAUGGGUUCAGUGGAGCUUCGUCACGUAGGCGUUGUUAAACGCAAGUAG
RNAcentral lists this ribosomal RNA (696 nucleotides) under Triticum aestivum (bread wheat). RNAcentral describes it as "partial small subunit ribosomal RNA". The record is from RNAcentral. Lineage: Eukaryota; Viridiplantae; Streptophyta; Magnoliopsida; Poales; Poaceae.